GAUUGUAUACGAGACACGUUACCUGGCGCUGGGCCCACGCACUGCUCCACGCGUCGCCCUGCUUUCCCCUAGUAUCUCUUACCAGCGUUGGACCUUAUCCAUUCAGUUCCCUCGAUCCAUUUCUCUCAGCUCUACGAAAAAUCAACCCCAGAUCCAACGAGCAUAGCCCCAAAUCUCGACGACCGCCGUUGCCGCAAAUUCCAGCGACGCCGGCGACCUCCGCGUCGCACGUCCCAUCCUCUUUCUCUUGUUCCAAGCCCCAUGACCUCCACUCCGUUUUUGUUGCGAGCCAAGCACGGGAGCUGGAACCACCCGCGGCUUGUGCCGAGUCGUCGAUGCGCUACCUACCGCUUGAUCCGGAGCUGAACCAGCACCGCAAGGUGUUGCAGCCGGAGCUGGAACCGACGAACUUCAGAGCUACCAACCCGCGCAGGUGGUGAUUUUAGCUGCGCCUUCUUGUUGGAUUUUUGGUGGAACCAGUGUUUUGUUUUGCUGGAACUAGCUUUUUUGUUUGCUACAAUCGAACCACUGGGAUCCCCUGUUUAUUUUAUUUGCUGGAACCAAUGUUUUUUUCAGCUGGAACUAGCAAUCCUUUUUGCUACAACCUUCUAUGUUUUGCUACAAUCGAACCACUUGGAGUUUCCCUGCUGAGUUAUUUAAAGCGUUCUUUAUUUUUGUUGGAAAUAGCAAUCCUUUUUGCUCCAAAUCAACUACCAGAUUUUCUUUACUGAUUAUUUUUUUUGUUGGAACCGAUUUCUUUUUUUGCUGGAACCUUCUAAUGUUUUUGCUUCAACGAAAUCGGCAGGCGAAUAAGUUGCAUCCACACCGACCAGUUAUGGAAUCAGACGAGCAGGCAAGUCGUUUUGCUGGAACCGGCCUUUUGUUUUGCUACAACCGGCAAAGUUUUUGCUGCUUCAGCGAGGUGUUUUAUUGCGACAGUCAGCGGCGACGGCGGUAUUUCGGCUGGAAUUGGUGAUGUGUUUUGUUGGUACUGUAUUUGAUUUUUUCUACUACCGGUGACAGUGGCAUUUUUGCCGAUGAAUUUUGUUUUGUUUUUGGCUGGAACAUGGUGGUGGGAGCUGAUGAUGCGUCAAGCCAGCGUUGGACGAUGAAGGCGAUGCUACGACCUUCAUCAGCGGAUGUUACAACCUUCAGUGGCGGGAGCUACAAGUAGAGAUGGCGAGAAGGAAAAGCUAUGACCAUGGAGUCGAUUUGCUGGGACGGGGGAUGGGCGAUGGCGGUGGUGACGGGGCUGCAACAGGGCUGGUGGUGGAGAUGGGAUGGUGUGACCCCAUGCUGCAACCAUGGGGUGGUCGGGAGCGGCGACAGCAACCUCUGGCGCGCCGGCACAAGCAAACUGACAGCAAGCACGGGUCAUGGGGCGGUCGAAGAGCGCAUGUCGCGCGGCCGUGGGGGAGGCCGGCAAGCACGGAUGAGGAGNNN
RNAcentral lists this long non-coding RNA (1443 nucleotides) under Triticum aestivum (bread wheat). Its description in RNAcentral is "long non-coding RNA (TAES_LNC011148)". Lineage: Eukaryota; Viridiplantae; Streptophyta; Magnoliopsida; Poales; Poaceae. The record is from RNAcentral.